UGAUAAGAGACAGCAGCAGCCGCGGUAAUGCGAAGGGGGCUAGCGUUGUUCGGAAUCACUGGGCGUAAAGGGUGCGUAGGCGGAUUCUUAAGUCAGGGGUGAAAUCCCGAGGCUCAACCUCGGAACUGCCUUUGAUACUGGGGAUCUUGAGUCCGGAAGAGGUGAGUGGAACUGCGAGUGUAGAGGUGAAAUUCGUAGAUAUUCGCAAGAACACCGGUGGCGAAGGCGGCUCACUGGUCCGGAACUGACGCUGAGGCACGACAGCGUGGGGAGCAAACAGGAUUAGAUACCCGCGUAGUCCCUGUCUCUUAUAA
Molecule: ribosomal RNA, 314 nt
Filed under: uncultured bacterium
Lineage: Bacteria
Description: partial 16S ribosomal RNA
Rfam family: Bacterial small subunit ribosomal RNA
Source: RNAcentral